UGCAGUCGAGCGCGGGAAGCAGGCAGAUCCUCUUCGGAGGUGACGCUUGUGGAACGAGCGGCGGACGGGUGAGUAACACGUGGGCAACCUGCCUGUAAGAUUGGGAUAACCCCGGGAAACCGGGGCUAAUACCGGAUAAUACUUUUCGUUGCAUAACGAGAAGUUGAAAGGCGGCUUUUAGCUGUCACUUACAGAUGGGCCCGCGGCGCAUUAGCUAGUUGGUAAGGUAACGGCUUACCAAGGCGACGAUGCGUAGCCGACCUGAGAGGGUGAUCGGCCACACUGGGACUGAGACACGGCCCAGACUCCUACGGGAGGCAGCAGUAGGGAAUCUUCCGCAAUGGACGAAAGUCUGACGGAGCAACGCCGCGUGAGUGAUGAAGGUUUUCGGAUCGUAAAACUCUGUUGUCAGGGAAGAACAAGUGCCGUUCAAAUAGGGCGGCACCUUGACGGUACCUGACCAGAAAGCCCCGGCUAACUACGUGCCAGCAGCCGCGGUAAUACGUAGGGGGCAAGCGUUGUCCGGAAUUAUUGGGCGUAAAGCGCGCGCAGGCGGUCCUUUAAGUCUGAUGUGAAAGCCCACGGCUUAACCGUGGAGGGCCAUUGGAAACUGGAGGACUUGAGUACAGAAGAGGAGAGUGGAAUUCCACGUGUAGCGGUGAAAUGCGUAGAGAUGUGGAGGAACACCAGUGGCGAAGGCGACUCUCUGGUCUGUAACUGACGCUGAGGUGCGAAAGCGUGGGGAGCGAACAGGAUUAGAUACCCUGGUAGUCCACGCCGUAAACGAUGAGUGCUAGGUGUUAGGGGGUUUCCGCCCCUUAGUGCUGAAGUUAACGCAUUAAGCACUCCGCCUGGGGAGUACGGCCGCAAGGCUGAAACUCAAAAGAAUUGACGGGGGCCCGCACAAGCGGUGGAGCAUGUGGUUUAAUUCGAAGCAACGCGAAGAACCUUACCAGGUCUUGACAUCCUCUGCCAAUCCUAGAGAUAGGAUGUUCCUUCGGGACAGAGUGACAGGUGGUGCAUGAUGUCGUCAGCUCGUGUCGUGAGAUGUGGGUAAGUCCCGCACGAGCGCAACCUUGAUCUAGUUGCAGCAUUAGUUG
This 1100-nucleotide ribosomal RNA is filed under the name Virgibacillus marismortui. RNAcentral's name for it is "bacterial SSU rRNA". It matches the Rfam family "Bacterial small subunit ribosomal RNA", at positions 56 to 1135 of the family's 1533-position model. Lineage: Bacteria; Bacillati; Bacillota; Bacilli; Caryophanales; Bacillaceae. The record is from RNAcentral.